Molecule: ribosomal RNA, 472 nt
Filed under: uncultured bacterium
Lineage: Bacteria
Description: bacterial SSU rRNA
Rfam family: Bacterial small subunit ribosomal RNA
Source: RNAcentral
GAUGAACGCUAGCUACAGGCUUAACACAUGCAAGUCGAGGGGCAGCAUGAACUUAGCUUGCUAAGUUUGAUGGCGACCGGCGCACGGGUGAGUAACACGUAUCCAACCUGCCGAUGACUCGGGGAUAGCCUUUCGAAAGAAAGAUUAAUACCCGAUGGCAUAGUUCUUCCGCAUGGUAGAACUAUUAAAGAAUUUCGGUCAUCGAUGGGGAUGCGUUCCAUUAGGUUGUUGGCGGGGUAACGGCCCGCCAAGCCUUCGAUGGAUAGGGGUUCUGAGAGGAAGGUCCCCCACAUUGGAACUGAGACACGGUCCAAACUCCUACGGGAGGCAGCAGUGAGGAAUAUUGGUCAAUGGACGAGAGUCUGAACCAGCCAAGUAGCGUGAAGGAUGACUGCCCUAUGGGUUGUAAACUUCUUUUAUACGGGAAUAAAGUGAGGCACGUGUGCCUUUUUGUAUGUACCGUAUGAAUAAG